RNAcentral lists this ribosomal RNA (344 nucleotides) under uncultured bacterium. RNAcentral describes it as "bacterial SSU rRNA". It matches the Rfam family "Bacterial small subunit ribosomal RNA", at positions 1160 to 1503 of the family's 1533-position model. The record is from RNAcentral.
AAACCGGAGGAAGGUGGGGAUGACGUCAAGUCAUCAUGGCCCUUACGGCCAGGGCUACACACGUGCUACAAUGGUCGGUACAAAGGGUUGCCAAGCCGCGAGGUGGAGCUAAUCCCAUAAAACCGAUCGUAGUCCGGAUCGCAGUCUGCAACUCGACUGCGUGAAGUCGGAAUCGCUAGUAAUCGUGAAUCAGAAUGUCACGGUGAAUACGUUCCCGGGCCUUGUACACACCGCCCGUCACACCAUGGGAGUGGGUUGCUCCAGAAGUAGCUAGUCUAACCUUCGGGGGGACGGUUACCACGGAGUGAUUCAUGACUGGGGUGAAGUCGUAACAAGGUAGCCGU